UUAAAGCCGUCUUUCCAGUCCCCUCCCCCUUCCCUAUGUGUCCCACCCGCCCCGUGCUGCGGUCACACCGUCGCCCUCUGGUUAUCAAACCCUGUGCAUGCUGCAGCCUCUUCCAACGACUCCAACUGCCAAGUCUUGAAUUCUUGCCACAACUGUGUGAAUUUGAAUAAUUGUUAUCCUACAUCUGUCCAACGAUGGCACACUGGAGGCAGAUAAGUUGUUUUCUUAGUUUCACAGGUCUACAGAUGGAGAGGAAUUGAGCCCAGGAGCUGUGCUUAAUGGACACAUACAGGAGCCUCAUCCACACCUGAUACACAUGUUUUAGAUGAGAUUUUGGCCUUUCAAGCUGAUGAGAUUGACAUAUGUUUUACUUUGAAUUGAUGCUGUCAUGGGACGAAACUUUGGGAACCUUAGCGGGUAGGUGAAUGUAUUUUGCAUUUGGAAGAGACAAGUAUCCCUGGGAACUAGAGGAUGGAAUGUGACAAGCAGAAUUUCUAAAAUGGUCUACAAAUACAUCUUACCCAAAUCCCUGGAACUUGUUGACGUGAUGAGUCACUGUCCUCUGAUUGUGUUGUUCUAAGGCACAGCUGACUUUACAAUGGGGCGAUCAUGUGGGUCGGCCACAUCUGAUCAUAUGACUCCUUAAAUACCAGAGCUUUCUCUGGCUAGUAGGAGAAGACAAAAUCAGAGAGAGUCAAGGACAAGAAGGACUCAAUGCACUGUUACUGAUUUAACAAUGGAGAAUGCCACAUGAAAAAAAAUACAAAUAGCCUCUAGAAGCAGAGAAUGGCCUCUGACUGACAGCCAACACAAGAAACAUGGACCUCAGUCCUAUAACCACAGGCAAAUGAAUUCUGGCAAUAACUGUGGUAAGCGUGGAAGAGGAGCCUGAGCGUUCGAUGAAAAUGCAGCCAGCUGAUAUGCAGCCAGCUGAUACCUGGAUUUCAACCUCAUGAGAAGCUGAGCAGAGAAUCCACCCACAUUGUUGCAGACUUCUGAUCUACAGAAAUGUGAGGUAGCAAAUGUGUGUUGUUUUAAACCACUAUUUUUGUAAUCUGUUAAUAUGCAGCAAUAGAAAACUAAUUCAGAUGCUUAUCUCUACUCUCCUGACUUUUUAAUUUCCAGAAACAUGUAUGCUAAUCCCUAUAAAGCAAAAAUAUCAAAGAACCAGAGUAAAAAUCUUGUGCUCACCUUCAUGUGACGUUUCCCAAGCCCUUGUAAUGUGAAGGACACUAGGAAGGGCAUUUCAGGCACUAGAGAAAUGUCUCUUUAAUGUUAUCAGCUGUACUUCUGGAAGAAUAAAGAUGGUAUAAUACUUAACUCCAUGUAACAUUAUCUGCAAAUCCAUCAUCAGUCUGUAUUUCCUAUGGCAGAUGUUUUUUAGCUCCUUGUUCUGAGCUUACCAGACAAGGUUUUAUAGCAAUCACCUGUCACCAGCAUAAAUGAACCAAUUCAAGGAGAG
This 1462-nucleotide long non-coding RNA is filed under the name Equus asinus (donkey). RNAcentral's name for it is "lncRNA (ENSEASG00005032938.1)". The record is from RNAcentral. Lineage: Eukaryota; Metazoa; Chordata; Mammalia; Perissodactyla; Equidae.